RNAcentral lists this long non-coding RNA (1751 nucleotides) under Homo sapiens (human). RNAcentral's name for it is "long non-coding RNA NONHSAT135751.2". Lineage: Eukaryota; Metazoa; Chordata; Mammalia; Primates; Hominidae. The record is from RNAcentral.
AAAAGGAGGACUGUGUAGACAAAGUCUUUGAAUGAAAAUGGCCUGUUGUAUUUCUUUUUUAUGAUCAUGGUUUUGUCAAGGUUUUUCCUACCUUGCUAUAAACAAAGUGAGUAGAUUGAGGCAGGAUAGUCACACCAAGGUGAGUCCAGAACUGCCCAGAACUGUGGUUUCCUGCAGGGCAGGCCCCGCAAGGGCCGGGCCUCGGCCACCUCCCUCCUUUCACCGGGGAUCACAGACUCAGAGGGUUCAGCACGUCCCGUCUCUGCUGCCUCUGGGACAGGAGGGGGGAUCAGGCAGAGCACAGACGGAAUUAAUGUUUUCUGAGAAUUUCUCCAGUUCUUUUUAACACGAUUUCUUUCAGCCCUCAGAGCCUCGUGACCAUGGCUGGCCAUGGUGAGGGUCUGAGCAGGAGGCUUGUUGGCACCAGGCCGAGAGGCACCACAUGCAGUCACACUGCUCAGGUGUCUGGCUGCCCCGGGCUUGCAUUUGCUGUGGCCGAAGUCAGCACGUGGCCAUUAGUGUCGUCUGCUUCCUGAGGGGUGUGUCAGGCUGUUGCUUCCACGAGUUUCCUGGUCUUAUUGGCCAGCGGAUCCAUCUUCAGCUCGAUUAUUGCGUCUUAGCUGCACAUUGUGGAAGUAAGUGAGCUGUGAACAGGACAACCAUCCGUGUAGCAAUGCUGGGCAUUAUUCCAAGCCUUUUGCGUAGGGCGCUCCUCCAGGUCCACGGCAGCCUGUGCAGCAUCGGCCGUCGCCCAGGUGAUACAGGUGAGGCCCGUGAGAGGGGCCAGGUGGCGCCUCCAGACUCACUGGCCUGCUGUGAGGAAGGCAGGAAUGGGAGCCUUGUUCCAAAGGUCAGGCCCGACCGCUGUGUCGGGGAGCAUGGGCAACACCCGGGAGGAGCGGGCAGAGCCCUGGAACAGGCCAGUCAGUUUCGCCCAUGGCCCUCACCCUGGUGCCUGUUGGCGUGGCCGGGGUUUCUGAUUCAGCAGGUCUGGCCUGGCUGGGAUUUUGCUUUUCUAAAGUGUUCCCCGUUUCUCCUGAUGCUUCUGGUCCAGGGACCACACUUUGAGAACCACUGGUUCGCCUCCUCUUCUCCUUCUCCGUAGGUGUUAAACAGGAUCCAGUGGAGUCAGAUCCCCGUGUGACACGUGCUUCCCUGUGACUUUUCUCUCUGUAUCUCCACGUUUCCGGUGCACAUGCCUUUACUCAGACUCCGACACUGGCGUUGCUUUUGUCUCAUCCCAGCUAGGCGACGUCUGCGUCAGCGCCUCUCAUCUGUGGCACGUGUGCCCAGCGGGCUCCCUAUGUGACGGCUUUUCCCACCUCUGAGUGUUCAUGUCACUCGCUGCAUGUUCUGCCACACUCGGCCCCUCUGCAGAGCCUCUCACUUGUUUCAAAAGAACUUUCCAUAGUGACAAGUGAGGGCGCAGUUAGCCUUUGGAACCCUCGACUCGGCUCCUCUGUCACCAGCGUUCUCUCCCACCCUUCUUUCUUGGUUUUGAACUACUUACUGUUUUAAAACAAACCCCAUUUUACUACUGAAUAGCACAGUGUGUUUCUAUUAAGAUCAAAAAUGGACCAUUGUCUCACAUAACAGCAAUGCUUUUCACAUGUAACAAAAAUAACAAUUUCCUGUUAUUAUUUAGUGCCUAGUCCAUGGUCAAAGGUCUGUUGACAAAAUGCCUUUUACUUUUUUUCUCUCUUUCUAAUUGGAUCCAAACUGGUUCCACUCAUUAAAUCAAUCUGCUGCAA